ACUUUACUUGCAGCAUGAAUCCAAAGGCGGCCUCGAAUAGGAGCAGGCCACGACCUGCCUUCAAUGCGCUUGAUCCCAUAAACUAACAAGGAAGCCCAUGGUUGGUGCAUGGUCAAGCAGGGGUUCGUGUAAUUACCAUGGCUCCUUCUUCCUCCCCAUCCCCCUCCUCCUCUGCUCAUCACUGGGCAAUGGGUAUUACAAUCUUGGCUUUUUUUUUUCUUAGUAUUCGGAAUCGGGAGUUCGCCGCGUUUCAGGUUGCGAAACCUGUGAGGAAAUUUUUCUUAAGGUCUUUUUAACA
RNAcentral lists this unclassified non-coding RNA (298 nucleotides) under Hevea brasiliensis (rubber tree). Lineage: Eukaryota; Viridiplantae; Streptophyta; Magnoliopsida; Malpighiales; Euphorbiaceae. The record is from RNAcentral.